AGAACUAAAGCACCUUGCAAGGAAUGAAGUUGGUUCUUGAAGUCCGUGCUGACUGGCUGGGCGCAUUUGCGCAUUUGCUUCUCUGGCUGCAAAAUGGCCCGCAACAGCACUCACUAAUUUGUUGCUAACUUCAGGAACUGUGCGGACAGGUCUCUGAGGCUUCUGAGCCGCGCUAUGUCCAGUAGAUCUGGGCGCCUCAGAACCUGUCACAGCCGACGGAAGCGUUUAUCUGAGUUUCUUGUUUCUUCCCAACCUUUUGAUUUUCGCACCAUUACGCGCUCAACUAUGCCUCUUCUUUUGUCCUAUGGUCUCAACUAAUUAAAGGAAGAAAAGCAAUGCAUGUGUGUGUGUAAUUUUAAAGAAACUAUGCUGUCUUAUAGAAAACCAAACCAUCAUUUUUAUCUUUUGUACCAGGUAUUCAAGUAUGUUUUGAGCACCGACGGGCUGUGAACUGGACUGUGCUGAAAGCUCCUCUCCCUCUUCUCUCUUUAAGCCCUUUAUAUUUGACAUCAGCUUCCCCCACAUUCUCCAAAGCUUCUCUCACGUAGUUAUACAGUUGUGUUCCAGGGGAAGGAAAAUAUUGUUCGGUUUUGUUCUGCAAUUCCCCACGGUGGUUUUCGGUAAGACUUGAGACUUCCUUAUUCUAAAGUCCAAGCAGCAGUGGAAACAUUUCAAGAUCCCUUUUUGCAAUAUAACUUUUCCAAAGAUUCAAUAUUUAUUUAAACCCAAAAAUCUUGUCACUCGAAGUAAAACGAUUUUCUCCAGGGCCUGAAGAUCCUUGUUCAACUAGUUCAUGUGAUGAAAAUGUCUGUUAAGUAGGUGAUAUGGUUUGGAUGUUUGUUCCCUCCAAAUCUCAUGCUGAAAUUUGAUUCCCAGUGUCGUAGAUGGGACCUCGUGGGAGGUGAUUGGAUCAUGGGGGCAGAAUUCUCAUGAAUGGCUUAGCACCAUCCCCUUGGUGAUAAGUGAGUUUUCACUCAGUUCACUUGAGAUGUGGUUGUUUUAAGAGUCUGUGACCUCUUCUAUUUCUCUCUUGCUCCCACUCUUGCCAUGUGACAUGCUGGCUCCCCAUCACCUUCCGCCAUGAUUGUAAGCUUCUAGAGACCUCACCAGAAACUGAUGCCAGCACCAUGCUUCCUGUAAAGCCUCCAGAACCAUAAGCCAAUUAAACCUCUUUCUUUAUAAAUUACCUAGCCUUGGGCAUUUCUUUACAGCAAUGCAAAAAAAAACAAAAAUGCUGGUUUCCACAGCCAUUCUUUAUCUUCAAAGAAUUUGGUAAAAUCUGGGCUACUGUUUUCUUGAAUGUAUUUCUGUGAUUCACUUUCUAGGUCAAGCGUCCUGUUAAGGAGCAGAAUCUGUAUUACCUUCUCUCACUCCAAUCCGUAGUGUCAAUAAACAUUAUUUUGUGUAAUUUCUGUAGGUCAGAAAUUAAGGAGCAGCUUAGCUGGAUGAUUUUGACCCAGGGUCUCUCAUAAGGUUGCAGUCAAGGUAUCACCUGGGGCUGCAGUCCACUGAAGACUUGACUAGGGCUGGAGGAUCCUUUUCUGAGGGAGCUCACUGACAUGCCUAGCAAGCUGAUGCUGCCUACUGCCAGCCCCAGUUCCUUGCCAUACAGACCUCUUUACAGGGUGCUUGAGUACUGACAUGACAUGCCAGCUGGAUUCCCCCAAAAUGAUCUGCUAAGCCAUAAGAUUUACGCAUGUGGAAGGAGAUUUAUAUGGGCCUUGUCCAGGUUUUCACAUAGUUUAAAAAAAAAAAUUUUUAGAA
RNAcentral lists this long non-coding RNA (1764 nucleotides) under Homo sapiens (human). RNAcentral describes it as "HSALNT0321409". The record is from RNAcentral. Lineage: Eukaryota; Metazoa; Chordata; Mammalia; Primates; Hominidae.